This is a long non-coding RNA of Sinocyclocheilus rhinocerous, 184 nucleotides long. RefSeq lists it as uncharacterized. The record is from RefSeq and is a predicted model, not a curated record. NCBI's taxonomy places the organism in Eukaryota, Metazoa, Chordata, Actinopteri, Cypriniformes, Cyprinidae. The transcript is spliced from 3 exons.
CAGAAGACUAGUGGCUAUCUCUCUUAGGUUUCCACGACCAAAGUGGUUGACUCAUGAUGGAGGCCUAACGUUGUGUGUUCAAGCCUAUCGCGACGUUUCGGACUCUGUGAUCCUUCCUCAGGCGAGCUCUGAACACUAAAUGGCUGGAAUUCUCUACAGCAGCCAUGACUCUAGUCACCACAGA